This 1302-nucleotide ribosomal RNA is filed under the name Triticum aestivum (bread wheat). RNAcentral's name for it is "partial small subunit ribosomal RNA". The record is from RNAcentral. Lineage: Eukaryota; Viridiplantae; Streptophyta; Magnoliopsida; Poales; Poaceae.
AUGUCUUCCUCCACGGUACGCAAGCGCCCACCUGCCAUUACCGCCGCCACCGCCAGCUCCGGGGACAUCUCGCCAUGGACGACCCUGCACGGGGAUCUGGUCCGCCUCGUCGGAUGGCGGGUGCUCGCCGGGGACCUACUCGACUACGUCCGCUUCCGUGCCGUCUGCCCGUACUGGCGGUCCAGCACCGUCUGCCCGCGCGGCCACGGAAUCGUUGAUUCGCGGUUUCACACGCGCCGCUGGAUGAUGUUGCCCGAGGGGCACGGGCUCCAUCCCCGUGAAGACGGCAAGAAACGUUUCUUCAACCUGUCCACUGGAGUCUUCGUCCGCCCUCGACUUCCUGUUCUUAGAGACCACUUCGUCCUCUGCCCAGCAGAUGGCAUGCUCCUCGUCCUGCGGCCGCGGACAUACACCCAGGGCGACCAUCCAUGCCUCCUCCAUCCCUUCACGGGCGACGUUGUGGAGCUCCCGGCAGACAUAACUCUCCCAGAAAACUUGGAAAGACGCUUGUUACCAAUCAACGUGUUCGCCGCUGUGAGUACAAGUCCAGAUGGAGUCCUUGGGGUCAUGGUCACGUUUCAGAAUACACCAUUCAUACUCUUUGCUAGCACAAAUGACAAGCGGUGGAGUUUAUGUGCCUUUCCGGGCUUCCGCCCACACCCACAUGCAAGCCCAUUAUCAUUCAAAGGACAACUUUACAUGUUGCAGGAGCAGAUAUCUAGCUCGGAAGUAAAUAUUCUCCGGUUCGACCCACCUUGGCAAGAUCACUCAACGACAUUGGGUUUAGCUUCGUCUUCCUUGUUGUCACCCAAGUUGGUUGCCACAUGUCCCGCGGAUAAGUUCCACUUGCCCGAGCUGGUAGAAUGCGACUCCGAGAUCCUGGUGGUUGGCAAUAAAGAAACUACACAUAUUCUUAUUUACAGAUUAGCGGAUCUUGCCCAAGGAAAGUUUGUCCCAGUAAAAAGCAUCGGAGGAAAUGCUCUUUUGAUUGAUAGUAAAAGGAACCCGAGUUUUAGUUUGUCGGCGGUGCCUACCACCACGGGUGAUACCAUUGUGCUUGCAGAUCGCACCCCUGACAAAUAUAUUUUUCAAUACCACCUCAGCAGCGAUACCUGGUCAUCAAGAGUUGGGGGAUGUGCAGAACAUGGUUGUAGCAUGGAGUGUUGUACUUGUAGCCUCAUUGACCAUAUGUGCAAUACCUGUCGAUGUGUUUCUAAGUGGGACACACGUGGUGGAAUAAUCAGUCCAGCCAGGUGGAAUAAUAAUCAGUUCAUUGCGAACCAUAAUGCAGGUCAUAUCUAG